ACCAAACCAAUUCCGCAAGGAAUGUGAUGAAUCAUAGUAAUCGAACGAAUCGCAGGUAUAUGCGAUAAGUCAUUCAAGUUUCUGCCCUAUCAGCUUUGGAUGGUAGUGUAUUGGACUACCAUGGCAGUCACGGGUAACGGAGAAUUAGGGUUCGAUUCCGGAGAGGGAGCCUGAGAAACGGCUACCACAUCUACGGAAGGCAGCAGGCGCGAAAAUUGCCCAAUCCUGACACGGGGAGGCAGUGACAAGAAAUAACAACUCUAGGUUUUCUUAGAAGUGUAAUGAGGAUAAUUUACAAACCUUACCAAAUGCAAUUGGAGGGCAAGUCUGGUGCCAGCAGCCGCGGUAAUUCCAGCUCCAAUAGCGUAUAUUAAAGUUGUUGUAGUUAAAAAGCUCGUAGUUGAAAUUCUGAUUGUUCGGGUUUUUAGCCUUUAGGCAGAAAUACCGACAGUCAUCCGCUUGCAAACAUAGCUUGAUCUUAACCGAUUAACUAUGUGAGUAAGCACUUUACCUUGAGAAAAACAGAGUGUUCCAGGCAGGUUUGUCCGGAAUGCAUUAGCAUGGAAUAAUAGAACAUGACUGAAGUCAAUUUAUUGGUUAAAGACUUUAGUAAUGAUUAAUAGGAACAGUCGGGGGCAUUCGUACUCAGCAGUCAGAGGUGAAAUUCUAAGAUUUGCUGAAGACGAACUAAUGCGAAAGCAUUUGCCAAGGAUGUUUUCAUUAAUCAAGAACGAAAGUUAGGGGAUCAAAGACGAUCAGAUACCGUCCUAGUCUUAACUAUAAACGAUACCGACUCGGAUUCAGAUGAAUCAAAAUGUUCAUUUGGGACCGUAGGAGAAAUCAAAGUCUUUGGGUUCUGGGGGGAGUAUGGUCGCAAGGCUGAAACUUAAAGGAAUUGACGGUUUUGCACCACCAUGGAGUGGAGUUUGCGGCUUAAUUUGACCCAACACUGGGAAACUCAUCAGGGCAAGAAGAUUUUAGGAUUGACAGAUUGAGAGUUCUUUCUUGAUUGGUCUAGUGGUGGUGCAUGGCCGUUCUUAGUUGGUGGAGUGAUUUGUCUGGUUAAUUCCGUUAACGAACGAGACCUUAACCUGCUAACUAGUGUUCUCAUUUCAAAUUUGAAUCACUUCUUAGAGGGACUAUGUGAUGUAAUCACAUGGAAGUUUGAGGCAAUAACAGGUCUGUGAUGCCCUUAGAUGUCCUGAGCUGCACGCGUACUACAAUGGCACUUUCAACGAGUUUUUCCUGAUCCGAAAGGAUUUGGGUAAUCUUUUUAGUGAGUGCCGUGAUUGGGAUAGAUCUUUGUAAUUAUGGAUCUUGAACU
Molecule: ribosomal RNA, 1324 nt
Filed under: metagenome
Description: SSU rRNA
Rfam family: Eukaryotic small subunit ribosomal RNA
Source: RNAcentral